Molecule: ribosomal RNA, 574 nt
Filed under: uncultured bacterium
Lineage: Bacteria
Description: bacterial SSU rRNA
Rfam family: Bacterial small subunit ribosomal RNA
Source: RNAcentral
GAACGCUGGCGGCGGGCUUAACACAUGCAAGUCGAGCGGUAACAGGGGGUGCUUGCACCCCGCUGACGAGCGGCGGACGGGUGAGUAAUGCUUAGGAAUCUGCCCAGUAGUGGGGGAUAGCCCGGGGAAACCCGGAUUAAUACCGCAUACGUCCUACGGGAGAAAGCAGGGGAUCUUCGGACCUUGCGCUAUCGGAUGAGCCUAAGUCGGAUUAGCUAGUUGGUGGGGUAAAGGCCUACCAAGGCAACGAUCCGUAGCUGGUUUGAGAGGAUGAUCAGCCACAUCGGGACUGAGACACGGCCCGAACUCCUACGGGAGGCAGCAGUGGGGAAUAUUGGACAAUGGGGGCAACCCUGAUCCAGCCAUGCCGCGUGUGUGAAGAAGGCUUUCGGGUUGUAAAGCACUUUCAGUAAGGAGGAAAACCUUACGGUUAAUAACCGUGAGGCUUGACGUUACUUACAGAAGAAGCACCGGCUAACUCCGUGCCAGCAGCCGCGGUAAUACGGAGGGUGCAAGCGUUAAUCGGAAUUACUGGGCGUAAAGCGCGCGUAGGUGGUUCAGUCAGUCAGAUGUG